Long non-coding RNA from Drosophila simulans, 693 nucleotides. RefSeq lists it as uncharacterized. The record is from RefSeq and is a predicted model, not a curated record. The transcript has 3 exons. Lineage: Eukaryota; Metazoa; Arthropoda; Insecta; Diptera; Drosophilidae.
CCUUCAUCAGCAUCCUUGGGCAACGUUGCAAUCAAAGCGAGAUGGAGAUGCUGAUGGCUGCGACAUCUUAAAUGAUUCAACACCUUGAGCUUGAGCGGAUAAGAUCCUUCGAGCAGGACGACGGACAUAUCAAUCAGGAAAAAAGCAGUCAUUGUCGGAACUCUCGCCCCCGCCCUUCUCCGCGCUUCUCAUCGAGUUGAUGUCCUUGUCGCCGAGUGAUAUGAGACCGCCCACUCCAUCACCCUUCAUCAUCGUGUCUGUCUUCCCAGGACUCCCCUGCUCCACAUCCAGCUCCCUGCCAGCUCUGUCGUCGCGGCAAACACGAGGGAAAUUCUUUUGCUAAUGCCAAACACAUCCGUUCUUUAUUUGAUACCCUUAUUAAGGGAGCGUAACAAGUUGUAGUGAAAAUAUGCGAAGGCAGAAUAUGCUACAUCUUGCAAAUGAAGUAAGGAAUGCAAAGUUAAGUUCUAUUACAUUAAAGUGUGGGAAUUGCUUACACAUUAAAAGCCCACAAAAUCAUAAAGUAUCAAGCCCGUGCUCGGUAUCUUGUAGUCGUUAUGCUAACAACUAAAUCUUUAUCCAUUCCCCAAGUAUUAAUGUCGCCGGCACAAAGACCGAGAUGGGAUCUUCGAGAUGUCGAUGGCUUAUUAGCCAGGCACUUUCGCAUGCCUUCACACACCUGUAAUGCCGAGC